RNAcentral lists this ribosomal RNA (575 nucleotides) under uncultured bacterium. RNAcentral describes it as "bacterial SSU rRNA". It matches the Rfam family "Bacterial small subunit ribosomal RNA", at positions 323 to 916 of the family's 1533-position model. The record is from RNAcentral.
GCCAUGGCCGCGGGAUUCGGGAGGCAGCAGUAAGGGAUAUUCCACAAUGGGCGAGACUGAAUGGAGCGACGCCGCGUGGACGACGAAGGCCUUCGGGUUGUAAAGUCCUUUUCUGGGGGACGAGAUCAGGACGGUACCUCAGGAAUAAGUCUCGGCUAACUACGUGCCAGCAGCCGCGGUAAUACGUAGGAGACCAACGUUAUCCGGAUUCACUGGGCGUAAAGCGCGCGCAGGUGGUACUGUAAGUUGGGCGUGAAAUACCCCGGCUCAACUGGGGUGGGCCGCUCAAUACUGCAGUGCUCGAGGGCAGGAGAGGGAAGCGGAAUUCCCGGUGGAGUAGUGAAAUGCGUAGAUAUCGGGAGGAACACCAGUGGCGAAGGCGGCUUCCUAGACUGUUCCUGACACUGAGGCGCGAAAGCCAGGGGAGCGAACCGAAUUAGAUACUCGGGUAGUCCUGGCCCUAAACGGUGCGGACUAGGUGUUGGGGGUAUCGACCCCCCCARUGCCGUAGCUAACGCGAUAAGUCCGCCGCCUGAGAACUACGGCCGCAAGGUAAAACUCAAAUGAAUUGACGG